This is a non-coding RNA of Artibeus jamaicensis (Jamaican fruit-eating bat), 139 nucleotides long. RefSeq annotates it as small Cajal body-specific RNA 11. The record is from RefSeq and is a predicted model, not a curated record. The transcript has a single exon. NCBI's taxonomy places the organism in Eukaryota, Metazoa, Chordata, Mammalia, Chiroptera, Phyllostomidae.
GCGUCCUGGCCUAUGCUUUCUCCGCCCGCCUGUGCCCAGGGUAACAGGGGAGUCCGGCAGGACACACAGCAACCUCCCUCUCAGUCCAGGAGGGCCGUCCCGAGUACAGGGCUGGCUCUUGAAGGCAUGUGAGGGCAAU